UAAUACGUAGGUGGCAAGCGUUGUCCGGAAUUAUUGGGCGUAAAGAGCAUGUAGGCGGCCUAUUAAGUCGGGCGUGAAAAUGCGGGGCUCAACCCCGUAUGGCGCCCGAUACUGGUGGGCUUGAGUGCAGGAGAGGAAAGGGGAAUUCCCAGUGUAGCGGUGAAAUGCGUAGAUAUUGGGAGGAACACCAGUGGCGAAGGCGCCUUUCUGGACUGUGUCUGACGCUGAGAUGCGAAAGCCAGGGGAGCGAACGGG
This 255-nucleotide ribosomal RNA is filed under the name uncultured archaeon. RNAcentral's name for it is "partial 16S ribosomal RNA". It matches the Rfam family "Bacterial small subunit ribosomal RNA", at positions 521 to 776 of the family's 1533-position model. The record is from RNAcentral.